CAGUUCGGAUUGAAGGCUGAAAUUCGCCUACAUGAAGCUGGAAUUGCUAGUAAUGGCAGGUCAGCAUACUGCCGUGAAUACGUUCCCGGGCCUUGUACACACCGCCCGUCACACCAUGAGAGUUGGGGAUACCCGAAGCCUGUGAGCCAACUGUAAAGAGGCAGCAGUCGAAGGUAGAAUCAAUGAUUGGGGUGAAGUCGUAACAAGGUACC
RNAcentral lists this ribosomal RNA (212 nucleotides) under uncultured bacterium. RNAcentral's name for it is "partial 16S ribosomal RNA". It matches the Rfam family "Bacterial small subunit ribosomal RNA", at positions 1289 to 1500 of the family's 1533-position model. The record is from RNAcentral.